CCAAAUGGGCGGACUGUUGAAGUGGCUGAGGGUGAAGCUGUUCGAACACCUCAAAGUGUAACAGCAAAGCAGCCACCAGAGAUUGACAAGAAAAAUGAAAAGUCAAAGAAAAAUAAGAAGAAAUCAAAGUCAGAUGCUAAAGCAGUGCAAAACAGUUCACGCCAUGAUGGAAAGGAAGUUGAUGAAGGAGCCUGGGAAACUAAAAUUAGUCACAGAGAGAAACGACAGCAGCGUAAACGUGAUAAGGUGCUGACUGAUUCUGGUUCAUUGGAUUCAACUAUCCCUGGGAUAGAAAAUACCAUCACAGUUACCACCGAGCAACUUACAACCGCAUCAUUUCCUGUUGGUUCCAAGAAGAAUAAAGGUGAUUCUCAUCUAAAUGUUCAAGUUAGCAACUUUAAAUCUGGAAAAGGAGAUUCUACACUUCAGGUUUCUUCAGGAUUGAAUGAAAACCUCACUGUCAAUGGAGGAGGCUGGAAUGAAAAGUCUGUAAAACUCUCCUCACAGAUCAGUGCAGGUGAGGAGAAGUGGAACUCCGUUUCACCUGCUUCUGCAGGAAAGAGGAAAACUGAGCCAUCUGCCUGGAGUCAAGACACUGGAGAUGCUAAUACAAAUGGAAAAGACUGGGGAAGGAGUUGGAGUGACCGUUCAAUAUUUUCUGGCAUUG
Molecule: non-coding RNA, 667 nt
Filed under: Pan troglodytes (chimpanzee)
Lineage: Eukaryota; Metazoa; Chordata; Mammalia; Primates; Hominidae
Also listed under: 1 other name
Source: RNAcentral